This 18269-nucleotide long non-coding RNA is filed under the name Gossypium barbadense (sea-island cotton). RNAcentral's name for it is "long non-coding RNA (GBAR_LNC010563)". The record is from RNAcentral. Lineage: Eukaryota; Viridiplantae; Streptophyta; Magnoliopsida; Malvales; Malvaceae.
AACAACAUAUUAAAAUAUAAACAUUCAAAUGUUGUCUCGUGAUGUAAUCACAACCCAUAAAUCUAUGGGGAUCCGACUAUUUUUUUUGGACGAAAAAUUCCAUGCUCCUCCUUCUUGACUCCAAAUCUUAACCCUCCCUUGAUACUGUGUAUCAACAAUGGUGCGCUGAGCUUGUAACAAAGGUUGUUUUACCAGGAUCAUCGACUGUGUCUGAUGGGUAAUCUAAUUUCAAGAAGACUGGUGAUAUUUGUGAAGGCGUUUGUGGAAAGAGUCGAUCAAAAGCUUGCAUGUAUGCCGAUUGGAGAAUGGAGGAGAAAAUGAGGUUGAGAGGAAGUUUGUGUUGGGCAAAGAUGGCCCCUACGUGGAAGCGGCAACAGGCCCUCUUAUUCUAUUGCAGGGGGUACCAACCCGUGAGCUUUCCGAAGGCAGAGUCAUAGGUACACCGCUUCCACAUUUUCUCUUUUCAGCUACUCAUUUUCUAGAUUGAUUGGUUCUAUGAAUUGGGACCCAUUUUAUUUCUAUACCUGGAUGAUUGAUUCGUCUAUUACACGUGCACGCAAAGUCCGACUUUUUAUUAGAGCAUUUCAGUACUAGCCAAAGUUGUUUAAUUAUUUCGAAUUUUAGAAGGGAAAUGUUGAUUGAACAUUAGAAUAAAAAAUCAAAAGAACCAGCUUUCGUGCUCAGAUGCACAUUUUAUGCAUCCUCACUACAUUUAUUGUCACAUCACUGUUGAGCCAUCUUAUCAACUAUCAUGUUUCACUUUAAUUGAGAAAAUGUCUCUUGAAACCAUUGUUCCGCAAUUCGUGAGGCAUCUUAGCAAAGGAUUUGCCAAUUAGAAGGGUCGUUAAUGGAUUGCAAUGUUGUACUUGGUUAUUUUCAUUUUCCUUGCUCUACUAAGGGCAUUAUUUUCCUCCUCUUUCUGUAAGCAUACUGCUCUUGUCUUUUUUUAUGAUCUGAACUGUGUGUUGUAUAAGAUGAGAGUUAGUUCUAUUUUGACUCGUGCAAGUGAGUACCCAAAUUAGUAAAGCAAAAGGAGUCAUUGCAUAACACUUCUUUCCUCCAAGGUAUCUGCCACACUUUAAUUAUUUGUCAUAUAUUUGGUAUAAAGUAAUUAGAAAGGUUUCAAAUGUUGGUUUAGCUAAUGUUUAUCAUAUUGGUUCCUGAGAACUCUUAUCUCUUAUUUAUACAUCGUGUUCGUUUAGUGAUAUAAUCAUUUGGUUUCAUGUUUAAGCUUUCAUAGUGACAGUUUUGCAAAGUUUUUUCAACAUUGAAUUCACCAGUUGCUACCUAAUUUUUCUUCUAUGAUGGAAAUUUCAUUUAUCCAACAACAAGUAGGAUAACCUGCUUCUGCAAAACUGGUGCAGAAUAAGGCAACAUAUUGCCAUCGGUUGUAAAACAUCGUAUAGGAUGAACAAUAAUGUAAAUAAGAACAGAAGGUUAAAUAGUAAGAGAAAGUAUUAAUGGAGCAUGGAUUCUCUGUUGUUGUUUUAUACUUUUGCAUCUAGUUUUUCUCUUGAUUAGUAUGAACUCUUGAGUUAGCCUUCAAGCGCACAUAACUAAAUUGGGAUUGCUGCUUUGUGGUAAUGACAUGUCAUUUGUGAUUUUGAGAUAGUGGCUAACUAAACACAGAUUAACCUUAACAUGACCAACUGAAUUAACAAUGUCAUCUCUCUGGCUCCAUUUAUUAUGGAUAAAAAAUGGAUGAGAAGGUUGUUGCUUGAACUUGACCACAAAUUUUGUUAAAGAGUUACUCGUUUCAGAUUUGUAAUAUUGUUCACUUCUUCACUUCAUUUCCCAGUUUGAGUUUGAAGGUAUAGUUUUGGCAGAGUACUUCAACAUGAUAUUUUGGCAACAGGUAUCUGAUUCAAUGGUAUGUUAUCUUCGAUUUUCCUUACCCAAUUACUUUUGACAGUUUGUAUCAUUGGUGGAUCCAUCAAUUAGUGUUGAUUUUUCGAUACGACGAGAUUGCUAAGUUUUUAUUUUACACUUGAUAAAACUUUUAGUUUUAUAAGUUCUUAGUAUAGUACUAACAUAUAUGUUUUUAUAUUGAUAAAACAUAAUAAACCAUUUUAAUUAAAAUAUAUAGAUUUACGGCUUAUAAUUGGCCCUUUAAAAUUUUACACCAAGAUCCAUGAAUAAUUUAACUUUAUUGAUUUAAACUAGUAUUAUUCCUUCUUUUGUUUCAGAAUUUUGAUGCACGUAGGGCUUGAUGGUGUUGAGAUGGGUCUCAUUGUACACCAUAAACCUCUUGGGAACAAUCAAAGUUAGUUCAAGCUAAUUUUUCAGGAAGUACAGCAGAGGCAAGUCAGUUCAUAGCUUCCUUGCUGAAAAUUUAAUUUAAAUGGGGUUAACUUACUCAUUUUCCUGAAAAAUACUGUCUUGAAAUUGUUUUCGUUGUUUUUAGUUCUUUCUUAUCACAUUGUACUGACUCAUAUUCACCUCUGGCAUUAUGUUAAUAGUUGUUCUAUUGGAAAUGUAAUAAUUUCUAUUGAAGAUUUUGGUUGAGUGCUGCAGGGUUUUUGAAGUUGUUUCCCUCUUAUUAAAAGGAAAAGAAAGGUUAGAAAUAUGCUUUGAAAGGUAUGCAAUUUGUUAUCCUUGCAAUUGAGAUUUUAAACUUUUCUGUGAUUUUUUGUUUUCUUUUGUUAAUGGUCCUACUGAUGAUAUUUUGUUCUUUUAGUUGGGGAUAUAUUGGAUCUGAUUAUUGCAUUAAACUGCUUGAAAAUUAAAUCUGUAAUUAUCUCUAUGUUUUGCCAAUGACUUGAGCUAGUAUUAGCUCAUAUGCAUCUAUGAUAUUGUUGACUUACCAAACAAGGGAGUUCAAAAGAAGCACCCUAAGUUACUAACUUUAUGUUUCAUAAGGUGGUCUAUCGUAGAUACUAACUUUACGUUUCAUACCAUGGCCAUCUUUUGUUUCAUGGAAUUUAUUUCUUUUCUCUAAAAAAAGCUUCCCAUGCUUUUCUUUUGUUCUAUGCCUUGAUUGAUAUAUGAAGAAUUCAUACUCGUGUCCUAUUUGUCUAAGAAUUAUUUAUUUAUUUGUAAUCUUGCUGUCUUGUUAUGUUUGGUAAGGAAGAUCUGCGAGUUGUUAACCGUGUAAUGUAGUUUGUUUGUUUUUCUUUAUAGUUUAUUAUUAUGCCUUACAUACUGCUAUAUCCAACAAAAGAAAAAAGAUUGUGCUUUUGAUUUUGAAAGAGGGUUAGGCAUGUAGAAAGGUAACAUGUGUUUCUUUCAAAAUAAUUUGACUACUAAGCUACUAAGUAAAUAGCUCAUGACCAUUUCUAUGUUUUAAUACAGUUCUUUGCUGCUAAUAUAACUUCCCUAUUUCUUGAUGUGUAGAAAUUGGUGCCUGUCACCUAGCACUUUAGUCAUAGCUGGACUCUUCCACCACCUGCUUAGGCUGAUAUUAUUAAGGCUAACUGAUUUAAGAUUGCAGCCUCCAAUUAUUUGAGUUAGUUGAUUUAAGACAACUCUUACAUAGCUUGAUGAUCUACGUUCACAGUUGAUAUUAUUAAGGUUAGCUGAUUUAAGAUCGCAACUCUUAAACAGCUCGAUGACCUAUGUUAACAACUGGUAUUAUUAAGGCUAGUUGAUUUAAGAUCGCUACCUCUGAUUAUUUGAGUUUGCUUAUUUAAGAUCGUAACUCCUAACAGCUCAUUGACCUACGUUCAUAAUUAAUAUUAUUAAGGCUAGCUGAUUUAAGAUCAUAGCCUUCAAUUAUUCGAGUUCGUUGAUUUAAGAUCGCAACUCCUAAAUAGCUCAAUAACCUAUGUUCACAACUGAUAUUAUUAAGGCUAGUUGAUUUAAGAUCGCAGCCUCCGAUUAUUUGAGUUAGCUGAUUUAAGAUAACAACUCCUAAACAGCUCGAUGACCUAUGUUCACAGUUGAUAUUAUUAAGGCUAGGUGAUUUAAGAUCGCAACUUUCGAUUAUUUGAGUUAGCUGAUUUAAAAUCACAACUCCUGAGCAGCUUGAUGACCUAUGUUCACAGCUGAUAUUAUUAUCACAGCUGAUAUUAUUAAGGGUAGUUGAUUUAAAAUCACAACAUCCUAUUAUUUGAGUUUGUUGAUUUAAGAUCGCAACUCCUAACAGCUCACUGUCCUAUGUUCACAGCUGAUAUUAUUAAGGCUAGUUAAUUUAAUAUCACAGCCUCCAAUUAUUUGAGUUUGCUAAUUUAAUAUCACAACUCCUAACAACUCACUGACCUACAUUCAUAGUUGGUAUUAUUAAGGCUAGUUGAUUUAAGAUCGCAACUUCCAAUUAUUUGAGUUCGUUGAUAUUAGAUCUCAACUCUUAACAGCUCACUGACCUAUGUUCACAGCUGAUAUUAUUAAGGCUAGUUGAUUUAAUAUCGUAGCCUCCAAUUAUUUGAGUUUGCUAAUUUAAUAUCACAACUCCUAACAACUUGCUGACCUACGUUCAUAGUUGGUAUUAUUAAGGCUAGUUGAUUUAAGAUCGCAACUUCAAAUUAUUUGAGUUCUUUGAUUUAAGAUCGUAACUUCUAACAGCUCGCUGAAUUACGUUAACAACUGAUAUUAUUAAGGUUUGCGAUUUUCGGUAUUCUAAUAAUUCAUUUGAUUUAAUCUCGCAACUAUCAUUUUUAAAGCUUGCUAAUUUCUUUGAUAAGGUGAAAGACAAAUUUUUACUUAUGAGAAAUACAGUUCUUAGUGUUCUACAACACAAUUUGUUUCCUUAAAACCAUUUCUCAAAUAAUCAUUUAACUUCAGUACUACACUAUUAGACAAUGGAACCUACUCAUUAAAGUUGUUUAAAAUUUAUGUAAUAUGCCCCUAAUUAUAUGUUCCACACAUCUAAGUUUGUCUUAGAAGAGUCAUUUUGUAAUUUUUCUUCAACAAGGUGUGGGACAAAUUGUUAUACAAUUAUAAUAAAAUAUAUAAUAACCAAUCCGAGAUCCAACCCAAUGAUCUGACUCGAAAUACCCAUGAUUCAAAUAACCUUAAACACUCUAUUUAGGGGGGAUUCGCCUUUUUUUUUGGACGAAGACACCAUGCUCCUCCAUCUUAACUCUCAAUCUUGAUCUUCGUUGAUAUUGUGUGGAUUAACAAUUAGUAUGUUCUCUCACAACCUUUUGUAAAGUAUUUCAAAAUUCUAUACGAUGUUAGUCUUAGAAUUUUGAGCAAGCACUAAAAGAAGAGAUGAUAUUCUAUUUUCUUUUUCUUUUUUUCAAAACUUCUUUUGAAUAGUAUAAAAUAUAAUAAAGGAAAUUUGGGAUUUUUAUGUACUGUUUUCCAUAUAUAUCAAUUUAUUUUAAAACCUAAAUAAUCCACAUUAGCAAAAUAAAUUCAGUAAGAUUUUAUUAUAUUAAAAUAUGUAAAACACAUUUCACACUAUUUUAAUUACACCCUUUAUAUAUGUGCAUCAUGUACAUGUAUUGUAUUUAAUUUUAACAUUGUCAAACUAAAUUAAUUAUAAGAAUGUUUCUAUAUCAAUUUAACUCUUGUGACAUGUAACUAUAAUCUCAACUUUCAUUGAAUUCCAAUCGUUCUAAUCAAAGAGUGUGACAUUGUAGGAUCCUUUAACAUCGAUGUAAUAUUAAAACAAUUCUAAUAUUAUGAACAGUGAGUGGCAUAUAGCAACCCAUCUUACUAAUUAGUUAUGAGAAGUCGUGGUCCGACAUAACCUUUCUAUGAUAAUAUCAUUAUGUGGUAUAUCCUUUUUAAUUGUGAUAUCUAGAUUAAACACAAGUUAUGCAAUAGUUACGCUUGUAUAACCUAAUAUUUUAUUUCUUGAAUCCGAAGUAGAUUAAGAUAAACAAAUGAGUUUGAUAUCUCAUAUCACAUCAUUUGAGUAUGACCAUGUAUUUCUAAUCUCGCUUGAUCAAGGUACCCCAGAUAUCACUCUUAUUUUAUAGAAGGGACAAGUCUUAUCUUGAUCAUUUAUACUCCACUACAUAGAUUGUGAUAUACCCAACAAAAGUCGUUACAAUACAACCAUUUACAAAAAAUUUUGACUGUGUUAAAGUAUACAACUUUGGGCGUUGGAACUAUAAUGACCUCAAGUCAAAUGAUCAUAUAUAUUAUAAUCACCAUUUUGGCAUGACUAUUAUUUAAUAAUCUAAGAAACUUUCUAAUGGUGGGUCAAUCCAGUACAUUGUUCUCUAUAAUGUACUCAUGUAUUGACUUGAUAUCCCACAGCUAUAACAUCUUGUCAUUAAUCAAUCGCAUAUUAAUAUACAUUUUUAUUGUUUAAGCCUACAAUAAAAUUUGACCAAGGAAAUUUAUGAAUAAUUAUAUUAUUCUUAGGACUUUAUUAUUAAACAUUUUUUUAAAGCACGAGAUUGAUAAUUUUCUUUUAUUUUCUUGAAAAUUCGAGUUAAUUUGAUUUCAAUUAUAUUGAACUUCAUUAUAACCUUUUCUAGUUUAAUUUUUUUUUGGCAUGAAUGAAGUGGACAUUUGGAUAUCUUGUGGUUGUUUUUAAAAAAUAAAUCAAUUUUUAUUUUGUUUUGUAUUUUGAGAAAAUUGAAAUAAAAUAUUUUUCAUUCUUAAAAUCUUAGUGGGCUUGAUUCGGAAAAAUGUUAAAAGCCCAGCUUGUUUUCUUUAAAUUAUGGUUUUUCAAAGCCCAAAUUUUGAGCCCAUUUUUAACCCAAUUUGUAAAUAUUUUUUGCCGUAAAAAAUUGAAUCAAAUUUUAAGUAUGUAUUUGCUUUCUUUUUAACGAUCCGAUUUAAGAACCAAGUAAGCUUGUAACCCAACUUCUCCCCUUUUUUUUUAAAUUUUAUUUUUGGUCUGUUCAAAUUGCAACCCAUUUUUACUUUUCAAGACCAUUUUCUUUUUAACCCAAAUGCAAGCCCAAGUUAAAGGCUUGGUUCUUUUAAUUGGAGAUUUGAGCCUAGCCUAACUCAAUUAAUUUUAACUUGAUCUAGGCUUGCUAACCAAGUUCAAACCCAUACCAUUUCCAUGUAACAAUUAGGGUUGGAAACCCUAGCCAACCUCAACGUUGUAUGGUGUGAACACAAGGGAAAGGGGAAGCACAAAUUAAUUGAACGACAAAAAUAAUAUUUUGAAGAGCAUUACAACCCAAAAUGGAACAAAUAAGAAAAAAAAAGAUUAAUCCUAAUACUAGAUUAAAUAACACCAUAAAAAUAACUUGUAAGAACAUGUUAUGGAAGGGAUCCAAUUCUCUUAAGGUCAUUAAUGAUACUUGUGCUUGACAAAUAAUAAAACGAUGCAUUUUAGGUUAGUCUUUUUUGUUUAAGUUCAACAAUGUGUUUUUGGUAGGCGGUUACAAUUGUCAAAUAAUAACUUCCAUAACCAACUUGUAAUUGUUGUUUUCUUUCUAUUUUAAGUAAAGAAGAAAGAAUGGGAAUGAUUAUGCAUUCGGUGAAUGAAAUCUUCUUCUCUUUCAUUUUCUCUCUACUUCCUUUUUGUUCUUGUUCUUCUUCUUCUUUUCUAAAUCUAUCGUAAUAACAGUAUCAGAGCCUAUCAAUCCUCCAUAGCCAGUGAUAGAGUUACAACGUGUCUUUAAAAAGAGGUUGGUCAUCUUCUGUAACAUCUCAAAAUAGUGCUUAAGAGUUCUAAGGGUAUUUUAGGAAUUUUAGCCUUAGAGCUUUCAAAAACUCGUGGCAUGAUAUAUCGAUAAUUUUCUCGAUUAUAGUUUUUAGAAAAUCAAAUCAAUUUCUGAAUGUGCUUUAAAAACCUUUAAUUUUAAAAAAUGACUAAUUUACAAUAGAGUCAAAACUGUGAGUGUUUAUAUUGCAGUUUUGCCAAUUUUUAAAAUUUCAGUCUAUUUCUUCCUCUAAUGGCAUAUUUAUGCUAAUUUCUUCCUCUCCCCUCCCUUAUUGUCGUCCCUUGUUCUCCCGAAAUUAAGCCACCCAAUUUUGAUUUCCAAACUAUAAGCUUUAGAUUCUUUCAACGCCCAAGCCUUAAACAUCCAUAGAAUCUCUUUAAAACACCCAAAAACUCCAUUGAUUUCACCAUUGUCAAGCUUUGGAAUUUUCUAGGUUUGUAUCAAAAGUUCGAUUUUCUUCAAUUAAAGGUAAUGUUUUGAUUCCUUAUGAGUUUUUCAUGAUAUCUAGUCCUUAAAACUAAAUUAUUAGCCAUUGAAUCGCACGUUUUAAACAAAAGUAAAAAAUUGAGACAUUAAUCAGGAAUUUUGGGAUUUUGAGUAAUAACAUCAUUUCUAGGUAUUUUUCAACUCGUUUUAUCAUGAUUAGAAGGUUUUUAAACUUGAAGUUUCAUUAAUGAUUUCUUAUGUUUUAAUGAAUUUUGUGAAAAUUUUCAAAAAGAUGUUGAAAAAUUUUGAGUACCAUGAAUUAUGUAGUUUUUAGUGGUUUAAGGGUUGAAGAUUAAGCGUAGAUGACUAAUUAGAUGAACGGAAUUCGUUUUAGGUGAAAAUGUUAAGCGUAGACUGAGUUAUAAGCAUUCUAAGUUUGUUUUGUUAAAUGUUUUGGUUACAUGAGAACUUAGAAUAGGAUGAUGCUUUAGUUGGUUUAAGUGAGUCCUUGACUACUACCUAAUUGUGAAUAUUGUAUGGUUGUUAUGUGUAAAGCCUCAGAUUCAUUAGAGCCUUCUACAAGUUAAAUGAAGAGCUGGUUUGAGCUUUUGAGUUCUUAGCGAAAGAAUAGUGGUGAGUGUUUGGGAUCACUAAUCGUAGACACGAGUCAUGUGAUAUUUGGGAAUUUAGUAGUAGCCUAAACCUUUACUCUAAAUUUCAAGUGUAAGUUUUCUUGUAUCUAUGUUCGUUUUAUAGUUUUGUGCUUAUAUGAUUAUGAAAUUGGGCAUGGUGAUGAGAAGCUCAAAUCUGUGAUAUGUGGAUAUGGUAACUAUUGUGAAAAGUGCAAAUGUAUACAUGAUAUAUAUAUGUUAUAUGACAGUGAUAGGGUUUUAUAAAAGAUGCUAACAUGCAAUGAUAGUGCACGGAUAAUCGGUAAGUGAUAUGUGAUUGUUUUUCCGAAUAUUUUGGCCUUGUGAUCUUGAUACCAUUGGAUAUAAUUGACAUGCCAUAAGAUUGCGAGUACUCAUCUAUAUGUACAGUGAUUUUGGGAAUUGAAACCUUAGGACAUAUUAGAAGGGGAAGGGAAUGUGAGUUAAGCUCCAUUCAAUAAGACAUGUGAGGGGAAAUAAGGAGUGUUGGCUAUAUGCUACAUUUCUGGGACAUGUUUGACAUUAUGAGUCUAUGUGGUGUGUUAGAGAUUCGUGUACUCGAUGAAUGAUGAUAGAGCUCACUUCAUGUUUGAUACCUCAAGUGUCAAUUUAUCGUUAUAUAUGACUUGUGUGAAAUGUGAUAUAUGCUUGAUUAAAUGUGUGUUACAUGAUUUAUGUUUGAAUGAGUAUGUAACUGAUGUAUAGAUGAACCAAUAGAUAAUGCAUGGAUAAACACUCUAUGACAUUAGACAUAAGACUAUUGUAAUUUUAUUUGUAACAUCCCUUAUCUGUACCCGAGACCGAGACAAGGUAGGAGACAUUACCGUACAUAAUCAGUGCAUUUUCGCAAAAUACGAAUCAUAAAAUUUCAUUCCAAAUUGAAAUCGAUCAAACAAGAUCAUAUUAUCCUUAUUAUGGACCUAUAAGGUCCAAAACAUACAUUAAAAACAAUCUGAAACUAAACUGAGAACUAAAAAAAACUAAGAAAAAUUUCUAGGUUUAAGCUUCACAAGCCCGUGUGGAGGUAAUACACACGCCCGUGUGCUUUGGGACACGCCCGUGUCCCAUACCCGUGUGGAAUUUUUAGAAUUUAUUUUUUAUUUCAAACUUACAAGGGUUUUUGCACGGCUAAGUACACGCUUGUGUCUCUGGCCCGUGUCCCUCACACGGCCUAGGCACGCCUGUGUCAUCGCUUGUGUCCAAAAACUUGGAUAUUCUGUUUAUGAUGUCAUUGCUCAUUUAGAGGCACACGGCCAAGGCACACGGCCAAGGCACACGGCCAAGGCACACGCCUAUGUGCUAGGCCGUGUCCUCCACACGGUUGAGACACACGGUUGUCUCUCUACCCGUGUGUUUACUAUCAUGCAUACUGACUUAAAAAUUUUAGGUGCAGGGGACACACGGCCAUUCAGCGUGCCCAUGAGGUAGGUCGUGUGUCACACACAGUCUAGACACAUGCCCGUGUGUCUACCUAUGUGGAUCAUUUAAAGGUUAUUUUCCAAGCCAAUAGUCACCCACAAUCACCCAUACAUUUAAACAUACUUUAUAACAUGCAACAUGACAUAGCAUUCACACAUCUUCAUAAUGUCAUUCUAUUUCACAUUCAUUUGUUGCACCAUUUAAAAGCAUUCCACACCAAUUUCAUGCAUUAUUAAACUUGUUACCGUAACUUCAAAUUUAGCAUUCAAGCAUAUAGUCAUUUUAAGUUAUUAGGUCACCCCUUAUCUUUUAGUAUCAGACUCGUACUUUACCAUACAUUUAUCUAUCAAGAACAUAUCACAUCAUUAUCAUGCACUCACUAAGCAAUAACAUAUCCUACCAUCAAAACACUAGCGCAUGCAUGCAUGGGUAAUUAGAUUACAACCCAAAUGAUCAAAUAUAAGCCAUAUCACAUGGUCAAUACAUAAUGAAUCAUCAUUGUUAUAGGCCUUCACAAUUUGGCCAAAUAGCAUGGCACAUAUCACAAAAUGACCAAGUUUCCUAUACAUGCCAUACUUAAAAUAAUAAUUUUACUAUACCUAAUAGUCUUUUGAUAGUGUGAUCGAAUACUCCGACAACUCCCGAUUCCUGAGCUAGCUUGGCAGAACUACAAAGGGUGGAAAAAGAGGGGAGUAAGCAUUAAAACUUAGUAAGUCCACAUACAAAUAAUAUGAAAUGGUAGCAAGGAAUCAACAUGCAGAAACAUAGCAACAUAUACAUAAAGGCUUCAUCAUUCAAACCUUUUUGCUUACUCAUCAUACGUACAUAUAUACUUACUCAUCAUAAAUCGAUCUUUAUUAAGGCAUUACUCAUAGGUUUAGUAUACAUACCUGAACUCAUCGUAAAGUAUCCAUAACCAUACCUCUUGCAUAUGUCCUCCUCGGGACUCUCAUUACAUUCAUUACAUUACCCGUUGGACACUCGGAAUACUAUUGGAUAUGCGGAAACCUUGCAUAUAAGUGGCACAUUUACAAAUGUAGCCGAGGCUACCACAUAACAUGUAAUACAUCCAUAAUGAACUCGGAUCUCUCAAUGAGCUCGGAUGUUACAUGAAUCGCAUCCAUUAUGAUGAAUCGCAUCCAUUAUGAACUCGGACCUCUUAACGAGCUUGGAUGCUUACAUCUAUAAUGAAUUUGAACCUCUUAACGAGCUCAGAUGUCAUAUAUCGCACGAACCCGGACCACUCAACGAGUUCGAACUUCUUAGUUCCUAGUGACAUGUCACUUGUAUCCAAAACUAUUCUUAAGGUUCAAACGGGAUUUUUCCUCACUUGCAUAUAGUAUCUCCAUCGUACUUGCUCGUAACGUCGUGGAUAACGGCCAUAAUAACAUUCAUGCUUUCAUAACAAUCGACAACCAUAUAACUCAUAAUUAUAAUAAAACAUUUGUUACAAUAUAUUAAAGCAUUAAAACAUACAACAACACCACAUUAUUUACAUAUGUACUUACCUCGGUACAAAAUGAUGAUAAUUGAGCCUAACCGUCGUAUACUUUAUUCUUUCCUCGAUCAAGUCUCGGUUCACGUUUUUCUUAAUCUAUAAUGUCAAAUUUAACUUAUUUAUUAUUCACAUCGUUCGAAUGGGUCCAUAAAUCAUACUUUUAAAAUUUUAUAUUUUGACCCCAAAACUUUCACAUAUUUGUACUUUGGUCUAUAGACUCGUAAAAUGAAAUGCAUGCAUUUUCUUGGUUAUCCAAGCCUAGCCGAGCCUUCACUAAGCUUAUAUCAGCUCAUAUUUUCACUUAUUUCCCGUUAUUACUAUUUUCUUUUACACUUUUAUAAACAAAUCCCUUGUUUAGGUGUUUUUACUAAAAAUCUAGUAAAAUAUGUUUAUCAUGCAUCAAACAUUCAUAUUCCUUCGUUAAUCAUCAAAAUACAUGCAUGUUACACAUGAGUCAAACUUUAUACAUAAACCCUAGUUCAAAAUAUAGCUAGAAAUGGGUAGAUCAUGUUUUCAAGGACUUAAAAAACACAAAGAACAUUAAAAACGAGGAUAGGAUGCACUUACAAUCAAGCUUGAAAAUGUUAAAAAAACCCUAGCUAUGGUAUUUUGCAAAUUUCGUCAAUGAAGGAAGAAGAUGGACACCAAUUUUGACCUAUUUUUCCCUUUUUAUUCUUUUAAUUACCAAAUGACCAAAAUGCCUUUAGGGUUUUUCUUUCACAUUUUUUUCCUAUGCAUGUCCACUUUUGUCCAAAACUCUAAAAAUUGGUCAAAUUGCUAAUUAGGACCCUCUAAUUCAAUAUCUAAUGUAAUUUCAUGCUUAAAGCUUUUAGAAUGCAAGUUUUACACUUUAUUCAAUUUGGUCCCUAAAAUGCAAUUAGACAUUUUAUGCAUAGAAUUUCUUCAUGAAACUUUCACACAAGCAUACAUUCAUAACAUAAACCUCGUAAGAAUCAUAAAAUAAUUAUUUCUAUCUCGAAUUUAUGGUCUCGAAACUAUUGUUCUGACUUGUCCUUAAUUCGGGAUGUUACAGUACUUAUAAAUGGUUGUCUUGAAGAUGCAUGAUGAUAUGUUUGUGAUGUGGUUAUUCUAAUAAUUCAUCGAGCUUGUUAAGCUCACUUGCUCCCUUCUUCACCCAUUGCAAAUUAGUUGCGUACUGGUGUGAGCAGUGUGAUUUUUCUUGAGUUGAUCUAAGUUGAUCUUGUAUUAUUUUGUAGGUGUUCUAUAUUUAUUUAUGUUUUGGAGAAAAGACAACCUAAUCGACUUGUUUAAUAUCGUGAUGUGUUUGGACUAUUUGUCGAUUUUAAUUUUGUUUUUUUAGAGGUUUAUGAGUUUAUAUAUUUGCUUAAGUUUAUGAAUAUUGAUGAUGGCAUGAUGAUACUUGCUUGGACACAUUUUUGGUAUUUUGAACUAUUGAUUAUGCCGUUUGGAUGGUUAUUUGUCUUAGUAGUUGAUGCAUGAUUAUUAGAAACAUAUUUGGAAUGAAUUAACUACAUAUGUAUGAUGCAUUUUUUAGGUCUGGAGUAGAGGUAUCAAUAAUUAGGUUUUAAAAAUUGGUAACUUUGAACUUGUAACUUGUAAGAAGUCAGAAUAGAGUUUUGGUAUCGAUACCUUUGCUCGAGUAUCGAUACUUGGAGUUAAAGUAUUGGUAUUCAUAAUAGGUACCGAUAAUUUUUGAUACUUCGGGUUUGUAAUCGAGAAAUAUAAUUCAAUUUGGUAUCAUUUUUCCUGGUCGUAUUGAUACCACUUAAAGAAAAUAUCGAUACCCUAGUUUCAGUAUCGAUACUUAUGGACAUGUUUUGAAAAUUUUACUAAAUGGACCUUAGCGACUAGACCAGGUAUAGGGUGUUAUAUCUUCAGCAGGAAGUUACCCAGCUUGAAAUCGAAUUAUCUCAGUAGGACACUAAGCUUGACAAUCAUUUGAAGGAACUUCGGGAUGGCUUUCGUGGUGAGAUUAAAUCUGAGUUAUAAAAUUUGUUUGAGUAAUAUUUGGGUAAUCCACCCUCUAUUCCUACAAUUGAGGCUCUGUAGGAUAAAAGAAAGGGCCUUUUAGGUGGCCCUUCACCUAAUUUCCCUCCAUAAAACAUUGAUUGUUUCCCUUUGAUGGAUCUAAGAUAUAUGGGGACACCUUCAUGUUCCAGCAGCAUGAAACGACCUUUGUGUUCUUAUAAGCGAGAGUAUCCUAAAUUUGAUGAUAUUGAUUUCCGCAGAUAGUGGUCCAUGCUAGAGUACUACUUUGAAGCUGAGGGUAUUAUUGAUAGUGCCAAGGUAAGGACCAUGAUGCUUUAUUUGAAAGGGAAGGCACUCAAUUAACAUUAUUUUUAUAUUAAAAACAAAGAGGGUUUCAUUUUUUGACAUGAGAUUUUUAUGAUUGUAGUUUGAAAAUGAGAGUUGGUUCUAGCUCCUUUCGAGACCUUAUGGCUGAAUUGGUUUACCUGAAGCAGCAUGGCUUAGUUGAUUAAUUCCACGAUGACUUUGUAAGUCUCAUUAACCAACUUCAGUUAUUUGAAAAUUAUACCUUAUGCAUUUUUACGAGUAACAUAAAAUUGGAAAUUGGGCAAUACUUACAAUUGUUCAAACCUAAUACAUUUGUAGAAAGAUUCUUAGUUUCUAGGCAAGUUGAGAACAUCUCGCUUAACUCUCAAAAGAAAUAUCCUUCAACAAGAGUUGGUGGGCACACUCAUUCCUUGAACUUGUUCCACACCAUAAAAGUUAAUCUUACUUCAACUACCACUUUUGCUUCUAGUGGAUCUCAUCCUGGCGCAAGUAGUUAUAAGACUACUAAUAAGUGUUGCAAAAAAUUCGAUUUGAAAACGAUUUUCUUGCAUAGCAAAAAAUUAAAAUUUUAAAAAUCGACUCGGUUUGUGAUAUUUAUAGCGAUAAACCUUAACAAAAGUUAUACCUAUGUUUCUGGCUUAAUGGACGUUCAUUGUUCUUAACUUUCAACCAAACGAUCUUUUUCGCUAUUCUUGUACCACGAACUGCUUCGAGUGCGGGUUUGAACCAAUUGAAUCGAAACAUAGAACUAGAAAAACUUUUUUUGGUGAAAAUGGAAAUUUUCUCUUCUUAAUAGAAACCAAUAUAAUUGUUCUUCUGGAAAAAUAUAUUUAAUAGUUGAGAAUAAAUUCGCUCUAUUUUUUGGUGGAGUAACAAUCUCUAAAGGUUGUGUAAAUAGCUCAAUUGGUGCCAUCUAUUUAUAGGGAGAGAAUGUAAAAUCCUUAAUGAAUUCUAGAGGUUUAUUUCAAAUAGAAAAACAACUUCCUAGUCCAACUAGGAGAGAGAGAGGGGCUAAUAGGGUGUGUUUCCCUUCAUAUGUAUUACGACAAGGAUUCAGGCCUCUCUUGCAUCAAGUCUAAUUACAAGAACUUAUUGAGCCAUUUGACCCAAUAAUCUGUAAUGUGAUCCAACCUAAUUCAACUUUUCUAUUUCCCAAAAUAAAAUUUAAUAUUCUAUAGUAAAUAAUUUUCUUAUCCCUAUUUUACCUAGUUAAAAUUUUGAGAAAAUAUAUUCAAUAUUUCAUAACUCAACAUGUUCAUUAUGACUGAAUGAUUUAUUUUCAUUUUUGGGCUUCAAAACAGCUCAAAAACAUAGACUCAUCCUUUCAUUCAUUUUUAAGUAAUCCAUAUAGAAUUGGAAAUGAAUCAUUUCCAUUUUUGGAAAUCUACAUUCAUGUUUAAAUUAUUCCAUUUUUCCAUUUCGGAAAAAAAGUCAUAAUCACUCCUAAAGUUUUUCAUUUCUCUUUUCAUAUUCAUUCUAUUCAUUUCUAUUCAAACUCACAAUUCAUUUCUAGUUUUAACGAGUUAGCGAGGAAACCAAUUGGACAUAUGUAAUUAGGGGUUAAAUGAUCUAUAAUUAACUUUCAGCUUUUCUCCUAUUAAUUAUAAAGUCAUUUACUCACGAAGUCAUUCCAUUAUAGGAUCGUGACUAAACUCUUUCUAACGACAUACCAUUACAAAAACAACUACUUAGUGUUUGUCCAAUGACAUUGUCAUAAGUGUGUUACCUUAUGGUCCUAUUUUAUUUCAUAUAACCAUUUCGUAUUCCAUCAUAAAAAGCCAAUUACUAUUAAAGAAUAAAAAAAUCAUUCAUCACAAAAACGAAAAACCAUUGGCCACAUUUACUUUUCAUGAACUAUAAAAUGCCAAUGAGAGGAUAUCAUUUACCCAUGUCUCGAGCUAUGAAUUCGAAUGUUAUGAAUGACGCUACGUACUAUAGAAGUCUUACACUCAAUGCACCAAUUUUCGGUUUCUUAUUUAUUUUAACUCAGGCUUUUAUUUACAUCAAAGUGUAUGAGUAAUGUAUUCAUAGUCCACCAUCCACUCAAGAUUUAGGCAUAUCACACUAUGAGCGUCACAAGUGAGUAAAACCAUAAACGGAUUCAAGAUCUAUUCUUCUUAGGUCUAGUUUGAUGUACUGUCAGUCCAGUCGGUCACAUCUACGUCUCUAUUUUUUAGGAGUCAUUUGCUCGGAUAUUAAGACAAAAUAUCUCCUUUGUUGGACUUGAUAGACGACAUAUUAGUCUUUCAAUCAGUUUUCUUGUAACAUCUCGCCUAGAAAAGUUUCACUGACAGAACGAUGUUCAUAAAAGCAAGGCACAAGGAGAAAGUUUUGAGUACAUGUAUAAGGUUUAAGGAAUUAGUUUUGGUGCCUAACGUGAAAUUUGAUUAAGUAUAAGUUAUUUUCUAUGAGCGUCAUUAUGGUGGACUCUGAACUAAAGGAAAUGAACAAUGGUACAAAUAGUGUAUAAAACAUUCUGAAUGAGGAAAAACCAACUUUUAGGAAAUGUAAGUGUCAUGGAUUAAGAAAGAGCAACAUGUAAGUAAAUAUAUGUGAUAAGGCACAUGACUAUAAGUAAGUAUGAUUAGCAAAAUAGUGUCCGCCCAGGAGUUCGCCUUGGAAUUUAAAAUAGACAAACGAAGAGUGUUUUGUUUGUAAGGCCCUCUGUAAUAGGCAAAUCUAAGAAAUCAGAAUAAGGAUGAGGUGAAAUAUGACUAGUAGGAUGGUAGUCACCCAGGUGUACUCUUUUGGACAUAUAAGAUGUAACAGCCUGACUUUGGGCAAUUUUCUAGAAUGAUUUCGUGAAAAUUUCUUUCGAAAAUUGUUACAUUUAAGCACUCAAUUUUGCAAAAAGCACUAAAAUGUAAAAACUGUAAAAGUUGAGUUCUACAUGCUAGAGGUGUCUAAUUGUUAUGAAAUUUUAAAUUGAAGGUCCUUAGAUGGUAAUUAGACCAUUUUACUUUAAGUUUGACAAAAAUAGACAUGAGGUAAGAGAAUUUUAGUGUUUUGAGAAAAGGAUAUUUUGGUCAUUUAGUAAUUAAAUGAAUUAAAAAGCAAAAAUCAAGCUAAAAUCCUUGUCCAUCUUCUCCCCCUUGUGCCGAAAUUUAUAAGGGAAGCCAUAAAUAGUGUUUGGCCAAUUUCAAGCUCGUUUGUAAGUCUGUUCUUGCCCCGUUUUUAAUGCUCUUUACAUUUUUAAAGUCGUUAUUACUCGAUCUAUCUAUUCUACCAUUAAUUUGAGAAAUGAUUAAGGUCUAAGGUUUGACCCAUGUUAGGUAUGUGUGUAUCUUGAUGUCUAAUGGUAGAAAAUGUGUGUUUGGUGUAUGAUAAACAACUUUUGCUAUGUGAUUUUUGAUGAAAAUGUAAAAAGGACCAAUUUGUAAAAAUGUUAUAAAAUGUGCGUAAAAGUAUGAUUAAAUGAAAAUGUGGGCUGUUAUAAGCAUGAAAGAGAUUCAGCUAUGCUUGGGUCUUGAAUAAAUUGAAUAGAUUUCGAUUUACGAGCCUAAGAACCAAAAUGUAAAAAUGUUAAAGUUUAGGGGCAAAAAUAUAAUUUUUUCCAUAAUAUAAUUUUUUGACUGAAUUGAAUAAUGUGAAUAAUAAAUGAGUUAAAUUUUCUAUUUUAGAUUAAAAAAAGAGGUUCAGACCUAGAUUUAGGGAAAAGAAAAGUGUUUGACGAUUAGGUCUCAUUGCUACUAUUUGUACCAAGGUAAGUUCGUAUGUAAGUAAUGCAUCAUUUUAAAUAUGUUUUUAAAUGCUUUAUUAUUGUAUGAAUUGUGAUUGACCCUUGGACGUAUGCGGCAAAGUUACGAAAAGCAUGAAAUUUUAGUUGAACCAUAGGAAUAGAUAGGAUAGAAAUGUCAUGACAUUAGGGUUACUAAGAUUACAUGUAAGAUCAUAUCUAAGAUAUGACAUCAAUAUGAGACUUCAUGUAAGACCAUAUCUGAGAUAUGGCACCGAUAUGAGGCUCGAAUAAGGCCAUAGCUGGGCUAUUGGCAUCGAUACUAGAUCUCGUGUAAGACCAUAUCUGGGAUAUGACAUUGUUAUGAUACUAUGUGUACAAGAUUCUCGAGUAUCCUUUAGUAUUCCAAGUGGCUCAAUGGGUAAUUUAAUGAUGUAUGUCAAAUGUGAGUUGCAUGCAAAUCCAAUUCGAGAUUAUUUAGGUAUGUAAGUAAAACUCAUACGUAAUAAGCUCGUUAUAUGAUGAACCCUCGGUAUGGUUAUGAUUGAGUAAGUUAUUAUUAUAAGAUCUUAAUAAUAUUUAUGCCAAUUAUCAUCAUGUUAAUUGUAUGUUAAAUGUUGGGUUAUGAUGUCUAUUAUUUGCAUGGGAACUUACUAGGCUAUAUAGCUUACUCCCCUUUUCUUUCCCUUGUCUUUUAGUGUCACCAAGCUAGCUCGAGGAUCGGAGACUGUCAGAGAUCCACUCACACUAUCUACUGAUUAUUUUGGGUACCAAUGAAUUUGACAUUUUGAAUUAUGGCAUGUAUA